Molecule: unclassified non-coding RNA, 341 nt
Filed under: Hevea brasiliensis (rubber tree)
Lineage: Eukaryota; Viridiplantae; Streptophyta; Magnoliopsida; Malpighiales; Euphorbiaceae
Source: RNAcentral
UGACACUCCCAGCCAACAUUCCAUAUAGUUCAAAUGCCAUGUGAUGAUAUAUAUAGCAAAGGCAUUCUGGCAUGAAUCUCAAGUUUGCUGCUUCUCCCCAUAUAAGAAGAUAUAGACCCAUAUAUAGUAAUUUUCUUUGCUGCACUUCCUGUUGAAUGGUUGGCAACCAAAGGCUACUUUUGCGCCCCAAAUACUUGCACCAUCUUUUGUAGUUCUUAAACAGUCUCUUCAUCACAUCGGUUAGAGCACAGUCAUCCAACUUUGGUUGCUGAUCAGUCUCUGGAAACAGUCGUAUGUGCACAUUUGCAAGCAACAGAAUCAAAUGUUCCCUCUGAUUUGCC